RNAcentral lists this transfer RNA (64 nucleotides) under human gut metagenome. It matches the Rfam family "tRNA", at positions 6 to 65 of the family's 71-position model. Rfam says of the family: Transfer RNA (tRNA) molecules are approximately 80 nucleotides in length. Their secondary structure includes four short double-helical elements and three loops (D, anti-codon, and T loops). Further hydrogen bonds mediate the characteristic L-shaped molecular structure. tRNAs have two regions of fundamental functional importance: the anti-codon, which is responsible for specific mRNA codon recognition, and the 3' end, to which the tRNAs corresponding amino acid is attached (by aminoacyl-tRNA synthetases). tRNAs cope with the degeneracy of the genetic code in two manners: having more than one tRNA (with a specific anti-codon) for a particular amino acid; and 'wobble' base-pairing, i.e. permitting non-standard base-pairing at the 3rd anti-codon position. The record is from RNAcentral.
ACUGUGGCUCAGUUGGUAGAGCAGCUGAUUCGUAAUCAGCAGGUCGGCGGUUCGAGUCCGCCCA